This 253-nucleotide ribosomal RNA is filed under the name uncultured bacterium. RNAcentral describes it as "partial 16S ribosomal RNA". It matches the Rfam family "Bacterial small subunit ribosomal RNA", at positions 524 to 776 of the family's 1533-position model. The record is from RNAcentral.
UACAGAGGGUGCAAGCGUUGUGCGGAAUUAUUGGGCGUAAAGCGCGUGUAGGCGGCUUUGCAAGUCGGGUGUGAAAGCCCUCAGCUCAACUGAGGAAGUGCGCCCGAAACUGCAGAGCUUGAGUGCCGGAGUGGGUGGCGGAAUUCCCCAAGUAGAGGUGAAAUUCGUAGAUAUGGGGAGGAACACCGGUGGCGAAGGCGGCCACCUGGACGGUAACUGACGCUGAGACGCGAAAGCGUGGGGAGCAAACAGG